GUCAGUGUGGCACAGUGGUUUGAGCAUUGGGCUACCACCCUGGAGACCAGGGUUUGAUUCCCAGCUGAGGCA
Non-coding RNA from Phrynosoma platyrhinos (Desert horned lizard), 72 nucleotides. The record is from the annotation of a GenBank genome assembly. Lineage: Eukaryota; Metazoa; Chordata; Lepidosauria; Squamata; Phrynosomatidae.